ACAAGACGAGAAGACCCUUUGGAGCUUAAGACAAAAGGCCAACCGUGUUAAAGACCCAAAUAAAAUGAAGUCAAACAAAACGGCAACUGACCAGCGUCUUCGGUUGGGGCGACCACGG
RNAcentral lists this ribosomal RNA (118 nucleotides) under Prochilodus nigricans (black prochilodus). Its description in RNAcentral is "partial 16S ribosomal RNA". The record is from RNAcentral. Lineage: Eukaryota; Metazoa; Chordata; Actinopteri; Characiformes; Prochilodontidae.